RNAcentral lists this transfer RNA (72 nucleotides) under Heterocephalus glaber (naked mole-rat). It matches the Rfam family "tRNA". Rfam says of the family: Transfer RNA (tRNA) molecules are approximately 80 nucleotides in length. Their secondary structure includes four short double-helical elements and three loops (D, anti-codon, and T loops). Lineage: Eukaryota; Metazoa; Chordata; Mammalia; Rodentia; Bathyergidae. The record is from Rfam by way of RNAcentral.
UGAAGUGUAGCUCAGUGGUAGAGCACAUGCCUUGCAUACACAAGGCCCUGGGUUCAAUCCUCCACACAUUAA